CUUGUCCUCCAUGGUGUCUCCCUGGGACCUCGAGAGACUCUUUUCCUCCUCAGGUGGCCUUCAGGUUGGAUGGACACAGCCCGCCUCUCUGAUUAAUUCGGUGGAUGACGUGCUCCAAGGAGGGCUAGGAGUCGGAGAUUCCCCCCUCCCCACCACCUACUUCCUGUCUGGGGAAAACCACAGGGAGAGGGGAGUGAAGGGGAAGCAGCUCCUAACAGCGCUGGGGGCCUUGCCUGGAAGGGGUAAGCAGCAGUUUUUCUGUGUUGCUGCAUGUCAGGGUGAAGGCUGGUGGGAGAAAGCAUUCCUCUGAGUCUUCUCAGCACAAGAAGAAAUCGCAGCCAAACCUGUGCAAUCAAAGAGAAGGGUCUGUGUGAGAUGGUGGGGUGAUACAAGGUGAGUUUUGAUGAUAUGGCCAGGGGAUCCAGGAAUAAGCAACAGGGCUGCGCACCGACAUAGAAAAGGGAAAGAGAGUAACCCAGUAUUGUUAUUGUACUGAAUAUGUUAGUUGCUAAGUUGUUUUCUGACUCUUUGCAGCUCCAUGGUGGAGAAGGCAAUGGCACCCCACUCUAGUACUCUUGCCUGGAGAAUCCCAUGGACAGGGGAGCCUGGUGGACUGCCGUCUGUGGGUUGCACAGAGUUGGACAUGACUGAAAUGACUUAGCAGCAGCAGCAGCUCUAUGGACUAUAGCCCGCCAGGCUCCUCUGUCCAUGGAAUUCUCCAGGCAAGAAUACUGGAGUGGGUUGCUAUUCCUUUCUCCAGGGGAUCUUCCCAACCCAGGGAUCGAGCCCGGGUCUCCUGCAUUGCAGGCGGAUUCUUUACCAUCUGAGCCACCAGGGUCCAACCCAGUAUCAUGAAUGGGUUGGCCAAAAAGUGCAUUUGGGUUUUUCUGUACAAUGCAAUAUGUAAGGAGUGCUGAGACACAAGGCCUGGUGCAGAAAGCUGGCAAAUGAAGGAUGUUUGGGUCUCAAGAACCAAAAAAGCUCUUCCUUGGCCUGAGCUAGCGGAAAUAGCCAGGAGUCAUCCGGUGCUUUACAUAAUAUGCAGCCCUCGACCUGCCACUUCAAGACUCUAUGAGAUGAAAAUCCC
RNAcentral lists this long non-coding RNA (1087 nucleotides) under Capra hircus (goat). RNAcentral's name for it is "lncRNA (ENSCHIG00000001545.1)". Lineage: Eukaryota; Metazoa; Chordata; Mammalia; Artiodactyla; Bovidae. The record is from RNAcentral.